UACGGUGGGGGCAAGCGUUGUUCGGAAUUACUGGGCGUAAAGGGCGCGUAGGCGGUUCGCUAAGUCGGAUGUGAAAACUCUGGGCUCAACCCAGAGCCUGCAUCCGAAACUGGCGGGCUAGAGUUCUGGAGGGGGUAGCGGAAUUCCUGGUGUAGCGGUGAAAUGCGUAGAUAUCAGGAGGAACACCGGUGGCGAAGGCGGCUACCUGGACAGAAACUGACGCUGAGGCGCGAAAGCUAGGGGAGCAAACAGG
RNAcentral lists this ribosomal RNA (253 nucleotides) under uncultured bacterium. RNAcentral's name for it is "partial 16S ribosomal RNA". It matches the Rfam family "Bacterial small subunit ribosomal RNA", at positions 524 to 776 of the family's 1533-position model. The record is from RNAcentral.